GAUGAACGCUGGCGGCGUGCCUAAUACAUGCAAGUCGAGCGAACGGACGAGAAGCUUGCUUCUCUGAUGUUAGCGGCGGACGGGUGAGUAACACGUGGAUAACCUACCUAUAAGACUGGGAUAACUUCGGGAAACCGUAGCAAAUACCGGAUAAUAUUUUGAACCGCAUUGGUCAAAAGUGAAAUACGGUGGUGCUGGAACGUCUAGAUGGAUCCGCGCUUCAUUGGCUAGUUGGUAAGGUAACGGCUUACCAAGGGAACGAGGCAUAGCCGACGGGUGAGGGGGAUGGCCGACACUGGAACGGAGCCACGCUCCAGAGUCCUACGGGAGGCACCAGAAGGGAACCUGCGGCAACGGGGGAAAGCCUGACGGAGCAAGGCGGCGCGAGUUAUAACGGUCUUCGGUGCGUAAAACCCUGUUUUUGGGGAAGAACAGAUGUGGAAUGAAAUGUGCACAGCGUGACGGUAACUAAUAAGAAAGCCACGGCUAACUACGUG
Molecule: ribosomal RNA, 497 nt
Filed under: uncultured bacterium
Lineage: Bacteria
Description: partial 16S ribosomal RNA
Rfam family: Bacterial small subunit ribosomal RNA
Source: RNAcentral